RNAcentral lists this ribosomal RNA (244 nucleotides) under uncultured bacterium. RNAcentral describes it as "partial 16S ribosomal RNA". It matches the Rfam family "Bacterial small subunit ribosomal RNA", at positions 28 to 276 of the family's 1533-position model. The record is from RNAcentral.
GAUGAACGCUAGCGGCAGGCUUAACACAUGCAAGUCGAGGGGUAUAGUUCUUCGGAGCUAGAGACCGGCGCACGGGUGCGUAACGCGUAUGCAAUCUACCUUUUACAGAGGGAUAGCCCAGAGAAAUUUGGAUUAAUACCUCAUAGUAUUAUGAAAUGGCAUCAUUUUAUAAUUAAAGUCACAACGGUAAAGAUGAGCAUGCGUCCCAUUAGCUAGUUGGAAGGUUAACGGCUUACCAAGGCUA